UACUUAUAGUAUUGUGUUCCUGCCAGUGAGUAAGGUUGCCAGAGCUCAACGAGGUGGGCCCCUUUAGGGUCGGCAACGCGCAUGUAACUCCUCUGGAGUUGCAGGCGUACAUAGGCUACGGAGGCUGCUUAACAUCAGGCGGGCCGUAUGCUUGUUUGCCACCGACGUAGUAUAUAUA
This is a long non-coding RNA of Cydia strobilella, 178 nucleotides long. RefSeq lists it as uncharacterized. The transcript is spliced from 2 exons. NCBI's taxonomy places the organism in Eukaryota, Metazoa, Arthropoda, Insecta, Lepidoptera, Tortricidae. The record is from RefSeq and is a predicted model, not a curated record.